UACGGGGGGGGCAAGCGUUGUUCGGAAUUACUGGGCGUAAAGGGCUCGUAGGCGGCCAACUAAGUCAGACGUGAAAUCCCUCGGCUUAACCGGGGAACUGCAUCUGAUACUGGAUGGCUUGAGUUUGGGAGAGGGAUGCGGAAUUCCAGGUGUAGCGGUGAAAUGCGUAGAUAUCUGGAGGAACACCCGUGGCGAAAGCGGCGAGCUGGAUCACUACUGACGCUGAAGAACGAAAGCUAGGGGAGCAAACAGG
This 253-nucleotide ribosomal RNA is filed under the name uncultured bacterium. RNAcentral describes it as "partial 16S ribosomal RNA". It matches the Rfam family "Bacterial small subunit ribosomal RNA", at positions 524 to 776 of the family's 1533-position model. The record is from RNAcentral.